This 711-nucleotide ribosomal RNA is filed under the name uncultured fungus. RNAcentral's name for it is "SSU rRNA". It matches the Rfam family "Eukaryotic small subunit ribosomal RNA", at positions 382 to 1094 of the family's 1831-position model. The record is from RNAcentral. Lineage: Eukaryota; Fungi.
ACCGGAGAGGGAGCCUGAGAAACGGCUACCACAUCCAAGGAUGGCAGCAGGCGCGCAAAUUACCCAAUCCCGACACGGGGAGGUAGUGACAAUAAAUAACAAUACGGGGUUCUUUAGGAUCUCGUAAUUGGAAUGAGUACAAUUUAAAUCUCUUAACGAGGAACAAUUGGAGGGCAAGUCUGGUGCCAGCAGCCGCGGUAAUUCCAGCUCCAAUAGCGUAUAUUAAAGUUGUUGCAGUUAAAAAGCUCGUAGUUGAAUUUCGGGGUUAGUAGGUUGGUCAUGCCUCUGGUAUGUACUGGUCUCACUGAUUCCUCCUUCCUUAUGAACCGUAAUGCCAUUAAUUUGGUGUUGCGGGGAAUUUGGACUGUUACUUUGAAAAAAUUAGAGUGUUUAAAGCAAGCUAACGCUUGAAUACAUUAGCAUGGAAUAAUGAAAUAGGACGUUCGAUCUUAUUUUGUUGGUUUCUAGGAUUGACGUAAUGAUUAAUAGGGAUAGUUGGGGGCAUUAGUAUUCAAUUGUCAGAGGUGAAAUUCUUGGAUUUAUUGAAGACUAACUACUGCGAAAGCAUUUGCCAAGGAUGUUUUCAUUAAUCAAGAACGAAAGUUAGGGGAUCGAAGACGAUCAGAUACCGUCGUAGUCUUAACCAUAAACUAUGCCGACUAGGGAUCGGAUGAUGUUAAUUUUUUAAUGACUCAUUCGGCGCCUUACGGG